Molecule: long non-coding RNA, 746 nt
Filed under: Homo sapiens (human)
Lineage: Eukaryota; Metazoa; Chordata; Mammalia; Primates; Hominidae
Description: non-protein coding lnc-TUBA3C-14:1
Source: RNAcentral
AGGUGAUGGACUAUUUAUCAACUUGCUCCAUAAUCCGUUUAGAGUUAAAGAGGACCACAGAAACUCCACCUCCAGGUGUCACAGGUUACUAAACACAAUAACUAAAACAAAUUAAAAAACUUAUCUCAGAUUCCCUCCUGGAGUCUACUGCCUUGCUUAUACAGUUGGACGACAAAGUCAGCCACUGCCUGAAUUCAUAUUCUGCACUAUGUGAUUCAGGAAACAACGUUAUGCUUCUCCUAUGUUCCCAAUAUGCUGGACAUCAGGUGUGGGUAAUAACAGUACCAUGAUUUUCCUUUGGAGACUCCAAAUCCUCAGUCCAAAUGACUUUAUUCCACUUAUAACUCCAUAGAAGCCAUGAAAUCCAGACCUCAGUACAGACGGUGACUUCCAUGAACUUAGCUAAAAUUUUUGGACAAAGUUUACUCCCUCUGGAUUCUAAAUGGAUAGGGUAAUGUUGCUGGCUCAGUGAAGCACCUUCUGAGCCUACUGAAGCAGGAGCCGAUGCUGAGGCAGAACUGAAAGAUGCAGAGGCAGAGUCCGGAUAACACUGUCUGAACACCUGAAAACACACUGAACACUGAUGAAUUUUACUGUUCCGUUUUAGCCCAAGGUCAGUAAGCAUCUUCUGUAAAGGGCUAGAUUGCAAAUAUUUUAGGUUUUAUGGAACAUAAGGUUUGGGUGCAACUAUUAAGCUCCAGUGUCGGAUAUGGCUGUGUUGCAAUUAAACUUGAUUUACAAAAACA